Molecule: long non-coding RNA, 414 nt
Organism: Salvia miltiorrhiza (redroot sage)
Lineage: Eukaryota; Viridiplantae; Streptophyta; Magnoliopsida; Lamiales; Lamiaceae
Exons: 3
Source: RefSeq, a predicted model, not a curated record
ACAACACCUAAAACAUACACUACACACGCCAUUUUUCAUUUAAGCUUGGACGGAGCUUUUGACCUCCGAUUUGAGCACCGAGACGAGCGCCGAUCAUCUUUUCGAUCAUGUAUCUAAGUAGGUCCUUUUGGGAAGUAACGACUUGAGGGAGAGAGUGACGUUACUCAUUGAUACAGAGACACAACGAGGUUGAGCUGAUGUGAUGAUGGUGCUGCAAUGAGCGGAGUCUCCAGGGUUGUUAAUAAAUAGUUAACCUGUCUAGAAUAUGUCUUCAUACAUAUGUCUAGCUACUUUCCGCUGCAAGAUGUUGUUGAUGUUAUAGUAUGUUAUGUCAUACUUUGAGUCUUAAGAGAAUGGUUUCAUACGAUGUAUAACUUGAUUAAUGAUAUUAAUUAAGUUUUAUGCUGUCUUUCA